Molecule: long non-coding RNA, 7352 nt
Organism: Neoarius graeffei (lesser salmon catfish)
Lineage: Eukaryota; Metazoa; Chordata; Actinopteri; Siluriformes; Ariidae
Exons: 5
Source: RefSeq, a predicted model, not a curated record
GGUUCGUCCCACCCAGAUUUAAAUUCACCUCGUUCGGUCCCCCCCACUUAUAGGGAGGAAAAAACGUCUAUGCUGUCUUUCUUUGCAUAAGGCAAACCUCACGGAAAAAAUCAAAAGACUAAUUACCAUUCGGUUUAUUGAGGUGCACAGCAGUGUAUACAUAGUUGCAACUGCACAGACUGCACAGGUUGCGAGCUCGAGCUUGGUUGCAAUGGUUACCCACAAGUUUGACAGGCAUAUCGGGGACAGCUCCUCCUAGUUCAGGACCCCAACACGGCAUGACGAAGGGUGCCAAAAGGCAGAAAACGAUUGCAUCGUUAAAAAAAAAAAAAAAACGACUCUGGACUGACCAGUAGGAAGCAAGGGCAGAUGGCCACCCAACACACCCUCCAAAACAGACCAGGGGAGAAGCCAAGCAUCAGCUGCACGUCAUUGCAGAAACGCGUUGUCCCUAGACACACACAUAGACACACAGUAAGGCCACAUAAUAUAGUACCGAACCACAGAAGAUUUUCUAGAUGGCUCUGUGAAAAUUCAGGUAUUCACCAUAAAACCAGGAAACAGCAAUGACUUCGAGGAAGACGACAGUGAUGACAGCAGGGCCUGUUGCAUAUUCUUCGAACAGUUUCACCACGAAUGCCCCUCCCUAUAUCAACACCAUACUGCAGAGUGGAAUGUCAGAGAACUCACAUAGGUAAGUGUGGAGAGAGCUCCCAGGUAGCAGACACACACCAGACCAAGAACAAACCACUCUCUUCUGCGGGCGAACAGGUGGGGAAACUCAUCCAAGACAGCAGUGAUAACUCCUUCCAGCCCAGCAAACUGCAGGUGGAGAUGUAAAUGAUGCUAAUAAAGUGGGUGCCACUGGUUACACAAUGCAGACACUGGCAUUAACUAUAACUAUAACAAACACACACUCACAGCUCAGUGCAUUCUGACAAAUCCAAGUGUUGAGCAGGAACAAAGACCAGACCCACCAAUAAUCUCAUUAGUGCAUCGUGAUAAGCACAUGCUGUCAUUCAUUGUGGCUGUUUACCACAGAAACUGUACGAGUGGUUUCAUAUGAUCCUUUAGGGAAGAGGCAUUUAGAAGGGCAAACCAGGGACAGCAGAGAGUGACCAACAACCUAAGCACAGCAAUUGGCAGACAAUACUGUGUCGGCCAACAUGUUGUGCUCUUGGCUGAAAAGCUAAAUGCUUACUAAAAACCUGCUUAGGGCUCCACAUACUAUUAUUAAGAUAGGCUGAAAGAGCUGGGCUAAUUAACAAGUGGGACAGAGAGACUGACCGUGCUAUCUAAUCCCAGCAUGAUGAUCAUGAGGAAGAAAAUAAUGGCAAGGAAAGUGCUAGCAGGCAUGUUGGAGAUGGCCUCGGCAUAGACGAUGAAAAGUAGACUGGGACCUUUAACAAGAGGCAAAUUUGAAGAAGAACUUCAUUAGACAAUGCAGCAACAGAGUCCAAGCUUUUGUGUACUCUUAACACACAUAUAUCUCUUCGGCAUGUUUUAUAGAAAGCCAAUGAGGAAACAGAAUGUUGUGUCUUUACAUUUAAGAUGUUGGUACAAAUAAAGCUUCUGGUUCUCACCAGCAUCCUUUGCGACUGUCUCCACCCUCUCCUUCCGCAUCUCAGCCAUGUAUCCAAGUACGGUGAAGAUCACGAAGCCUGACAUGAAGCUGGUCAGACAGUUCACUGAGCUCGUCAGCAAUGCAUCUCUGAGACACAAAUAAAACCUAUUUACAGAAUUCUGUCUUUUUCGUUAUUUAAUGAGUUAAUUAAAGCUAAUUCGGUAAAUAUUCACAUUAUAAUAUGGUGUAAACGAUGUACAAAUCACUAAUCUGUUUAUAUUUAGCAUUAUAAUGGUCAUAUUUUGAAUUUUUAAAUUAUAUACAUCAAACAUUAUUUAAUAUUGACAAAAUGAUCCAUUAGUAGUGGGCUUUGAGAAACAACCAAGAGCAGAUAAGAUCAGAUCUUUAAUAUUUGAAAUCGUAUAGCCGUGUACUUGUAACAGUUGUUGUGAAAGGGAUUGUAGCUGGCAAAGGCUAGGAGCACACCAAAACCUGGACCCAGAGAGAAGAAGAUCUGGGCUGCUGCAUCAAUCCAAACCUAACAAACAAAGAGAAGGAGAGAAAUUUGAUCAUGGAAAAGUUGAGGACAAUAUCAGAUACAAUAUCACAAUAUAAAAAGUCUCGCUAAGGAUCGAGCUUGCUUUUAGAUUGUUUGUCUUUUCACCGUAGUGGUCAGGAGCUUCUCCCAGUUAGGCUUCAGGUAGAAGACAACGCCUCUCCAUGCUCCAGGCAGAGUGGCACCUCGCACUAGAAGGAUCAACAGAACCACAUAUGGAAGGGUUGCUGUCACCCAUACUACCUACCAGAGAAAAGAAUGCAUAAGUUAGAUAGCAUAUGAUAUGAUAUGAUAUAUGAUAUGAUAUGAUAUGAUAUGAGCGCUGGGACCUUCUGUCCAUGGCUAUUACUGGACUCCUGGCCCAAGAAGGCUAUAGCAAUGCUAAGGUUCAUUUUAGUAAUAGGGCUGCGAACUCCGAGACUGUUGCACCACUUGGAAGCCCCAUGAGUUAAGGUUUAAAUCUUUCCUAUGUCGUUCUUUCUUCUCACCUUGCCAGAGGUCUUAACUCCCUUCCAGAUGCUGAAGUAGACGAUGGUGAAGAUGAAGAGCAGACAGAGCGCCAGCUGCCAGCUCACUGCACCCAGCUGAUGAAGACCUGGGGACAGGUGCAGCUGCAAAACCUUCCGUCUGAGACAUUGAGAGAGAGAGAGAGAGAGAGAGAGGAAAUUCCUGCUGAUAUAGCAAGAUAAGCUUAUUGGCCCCCAGUGUGGAAUAAGCCUUAACCUCAACAAAGUCUGCAAAUCUCCCCUAAAUCAUCAGAAUAAAGUGAAGCUAACCAGUCCAAACCGGUUUCAAUCUACAAAAGACAUUAAUAUUUGCUCUUCUAAUGCUCCUGGCACUUACAUGCACUUACGUAUAGAACUCCUCGGCAGGCGACAUGGAUUCAUUGGUCCAGGAAAUGUUGCUAUCAGUGAAUAGAUACUGCUUGCAGUUGGCCGUGUUCCAGGAAUUUUUGCAUGUCGCCCACGGAAGCGUUGAGUUGAAAGAAGACAACAGGUAAUACAGAGCCCAGGCCAUGAUGGUGUUGUAGUAGAAGGCGAUGUACAGCGCUAUAAUGCAGAUGGCAAAACCAAUACCUACAAAAGAGACGCAGGAAAAGAAGUUCAUCUGCUUCGCUCUGCUUCAAGCGGCUUCCACUUCAGAAAGAGACAGGCUGAUGACAUUUAGGACAGUUCAAUAAACUCGAAGUUCUAUAUAAGUUGGCAUUUUGUAUGGGAAAUGUGACAAUUUCCAUAACAGAGAGUACAACAGCUAUCAACAAAGCAGCACACAAGCACGAAAGAGAGCAUUAUCGGUUUCGUCGCUCCCAUCCUUUCCAUCUAGCACCAGUCAGCUUGGUGCAACUUAGACUGCUUUUCUAGUCAUAAAAGUAGGAAGGUGCCGAUAUAAAAUUUUCAUAUCAUGCUAAUUCCUUAUCCUUUUUUUUAAUCAAUGUGUGUGAAAUUAGCCUUACUGUAUAUUGUACUAGAAAAAUCUUGUACUUGUUUUACUGGGCAGCAUUUUACGUGAAAAGGAACCUUGAAAGCUGCAUCAAAAAUGCAAAAACCAGGAAUGAUAUUCUGCAGUGCCGAUAAUAUCAAUAUUCAGUGUGCUGAAUACAAACAACUUUAUUAUAAACCGAUAUUAUUUGGACAUGCCUUCUCAGAUGUGUGAGCUGUGAAAGAGAGAGAGAGAGAGAGAGAGAGAGAGAGAGAGAGAGAAGUCUUACCUUUGAAGAUAGGGCAAAUGUGUUUCCAGAUGGAUAUGCAGCCACUGCGGUGGAACUGCCCGAGUGCCAGCUCCAUGUAGAACAGAGGAACCCCGCCAAACACUGCCAUUAACAGGUAAGGCAACAGGAAUGCACCUGGAUGAAUAGUUGGGACAGGAAUACUUUAGAGAACAGCAGUUAGUCAACAGGCUUAAACAUGUGAUAAAUGCUUGAAUUCUCUGGAACUGAGGAAAAACCUCAAUUUUAAUUUCAUUCAUUCAUAUCAAAAGGUGAUUUUAAAAAUCCGUGAAAAAACAAAAAUGAAAAAUGGAAACGUGUGCAUGUUUCACCCUGCAAAAGUAAAGAGUGGUAGAGAAAGGCAGCACAAGUUCAGAAAAACCUUCCUGUUUGAUUAAAGCUUUAUUUUUGUGAUUUUGACAUGAGUGCAAAGAUAGCAGCUGAUUUAGUAGCUGUGAGGCAGGUUAUUAAACAAUAAGAGAUUGAAGUCCCUCUCAUGAAAGCCACAAUUAGAGUUGGUAGUAGCGAGUGUAUCCCUAGCUGCUCUAUCUCUCUCUCGCCCUCCCAUCUUGCAUGGUCAAACAGGAAAUUACAAAGAUUUUAUUAUUUCAAAUUCAAAGGAAGGAGGCUGAAUCCUGUUUGGAGUAAGAACGUGAGCGGUCGAGUAUAAAGAAGAGAAAGAACAGCAGAGUUCCCUAUUGAAAAAACAAAACAAAACACACUGUCUAUUUGUUCUCGCUAAAGCACACAGAAUCUAAUCGAUCAUGUUUCAGAAAAGAAACACAAAUCUUUCUGACAAGUUCUUGUGAUCAUUAAGUUGCUCUUGGGUUCAGUCGGGCUCGAGAUUACCACUGGCAGAAUGUCAUGCGUGAAAUGGUGACUGCUGACUGUCAGGUGGUGUAAAUGUUUUGUUCCGUCCUCUGCCUAUAAACUCACCCCCUCCAUUCUGGUAGCAGAUGUACGGGAAGCGCCACACAUUGCCCAGGUCCACUGCGUAGCCAAUAACCGACAGAAGGAAAUCCACCUUCUUACUCCAUGUCUCCCUGGGCGGAUCCAGACUGGUCUGCUGGACCACAAGCGUCCUGAAUCCCCCAGGAGCACUUGUCCUGUCCCCGAUAGCCCCAGUGCCUUCCCUUGGGCUCUGAGCUGAUGUGCUGGGGUAUCCAUUUGAGACCUGUGUGGGCCCAGAGACUGGUUUCUGUCCUUUCUCAGCAAUGCUGCCAUCCACCAACCUGCCAUUCUCUUCAGAUUUGUCCCUCUCAUCUUGUUCCUCUUGGUUCAUCAUCACUGCCUGUUUCAUCUCCAUGGUCAAGGGUGAGAUGCUGUGAUGGGCUCUGAUGAAAGUUUUCUAGCACUGGCUGAUAUGGGGCCCAUGAGGGGAUUCAGACGAUGGAGAAGAAAAGUUGGACUGGCAGAUCAGGAGAAUGUAACUAUAGCAGCAAUGGACCUGAUUGUUUAGUCCACUUUAACAACCUCCGACAAACCCCUCCUGCAAAAAAGAAAAGAAAGAAAGAAAGAAAGAAAGAAAGAAAGAAAGAAAGAAAGAAAGAAAAAGAUAAUUUUAUAGGGAACUUCAGAAUGUUGACACUUUCCAUUUUUUAAUUUUUCACAAGUCCACACUAGUGACAUAGAAAAUAUACAAUCCAGUCCAGCAAUUACUUAUCUGACUGCUGUGAGUCCAAACAAAUUGCAUCUAAUAUGAAUCACGCACAGACUCGGCAACAUGGGGUUAAAAACUGUAAAAAGCAAAAUAAAUAAAAUAAAACAAAACAAAAACCAACCAACCAACCAAACAACAACAAACAAAACAACCCGGGAGGGUAUUUGUACAAGCCUGUACAAAAUUACACCCAGGGGACCUACCGGAACGCAUUUAUUUAUUUUAUUUCCACUUGACAUUGCUGGUGUUGCUGAAAUUAACGUGAGGCAUUUGAAAUGCCUGGUCUUUGCCUUUAUUUGAAACAAAGACAAACAGAGAAAUUAGGAAAUGAAAACUUGAGAAAAGAAGUUGUGAAAUAUGAACAAGAAUGCGUACCUCAGCUGAAACUAUACUGGACAAAUAAACUUUAAAGACAUGACAUCAGUGCUUUCCUGCUGUUUUUACAGCAAGCAAUGAAUUAUUUAUAAUAACGGGAAAUCAAGAGGUGUCAAGAGCUUGAGGGGAAAUUAAGAAUGAAAUUGAGAAACCAAACUGCAGUACACCAAGGGUCAUUUGUAAGCAUUAAUGAAAUUAUUUCUUUGUUCGGAAAUGACAAAUUUAAUAUAAUUGUCUGAAAUCAGUUACAACAGCUCUUGCAAAGCAACAAUAGAGCAAUGAAUACCCUCAUGCCUCCUCUUAUUUCAUUAAUUUAUUUAUUUGUUUUCACAAGACAGAAGGUAGUUGUGUCCUGAUCUUUCACUUUCUUUGCCAGAAAAAGAAAUGAAUCUAAAAUACCCAUAAUGAUACUUUAAACAAUAUCAACCUUAAACAAUAUUCUCUUAAAAAAAGAAUACCCUUUUAAAACAUCUAAACCAUUUGGCACAGCAGUUUGCCCACACAUGCAUUUCAUAAAGUUUCCAGUGGAAGCAGGUUUCCAAUGUUCCUUCGGCUCGACGUUUUUAUUAGGCAUUCAUAACGAUUAAUUGUGUACAACCAAACCAUCUCCACCUAAAUUUCCUCUUAAUUAUUUUUUAAUGGUAAUAGCCGGUGUGGUGAAGGUGGAAAGUGUUACACAAACAAUCAGCACACAGCUUGAUUUAUGCACAGUUACCAUUAUUACAGUUUAAUAUAUUAAAUAAGACUUUCCUUAACGCAUACACUACCGUUCAAAAUUUUGGGGUCACUUUGAAAUGUCCUUAUUUUUGAAAGAAAAGCACUGUUCUUUUCAAUGAAGAUCACUUUAAACUAAUCAGAAAUACACACUAUACAUUGCUAAUGUGGUAAAUGACUAUUCUAGCUGCAAAUGUCUGGUUUUUGGUGCAAUAUCUCCAUAGGUGUAUAGAGGCCCAUUUCCAGCAACUCUCACUCCAGUGUUCUAAUGGUACAAUGUGUUUGCUCAUUGCCUCAGAAGGCUAAUGGAUGAUUAGAAAACCCUUUUACAAUCAUGUUAGCACAGCUGAAAACAGUUGAGCUCUUUAGAGAAGCUAUAAAACUGACCUUCCUUUGAGCAGAUUGAGUUUCUGGAGCAUCACAUUUGUGGGGUCGAUUAAAUGCUCAAAAUGGCCAGAAAAAUGUCUUGACUAUAUUUUCUAUUCAUUUUACAACUUAUGGUGGUAAAUAAAAGUGUGACUUUUCAUGGAAAACACAAAAUUGUCUGGGUGACCCCAAACUUUUGAACGGUAGUGUAGUCCCUGAGUACCACAAUAGAACACAAGGGCUCAAUACAUUUAAACGAGAAACUCUAUCUGGUCUUUAAAAAGAGCCAGCGCAAAAUGAAAAAUUAUUUUUCUUUCACCCUGGAGGAAAGCUAAACCGUCAUCGAAAUACGACUAAAAUAUGUUUACAGAUGGCAGCCUUGAGAGAAAUAAAUAGAAACCACUUGCGUACA